GAUGAACGCUAGCGGCAGGCCUAACACAUGCAAGUCGAGGGGCAGCGGGAUUGAAGCUUGCUUCAAUUGCCGGCGACCGGCGCACGGGUGCGUAACGCGUAUGCAACCUACCCAUAACAGGGGGAUAACACUGAGAAAUCGGUACUAAUAUCCCAUAACAUCAUGAGGGGCAUCCUUCGUGGUUGAAAACUCCGGUGGUUAUGGAUGGGCAUGCGUUGUAUUAGCUGGUUGGUGAGGUAACGGCUCACCAAGGCGACGAUACAUAGGGGGACUGAGAGGUUAACCCCCCACAUUGGUACUGAGACACGGACCAAACUCCUACGGGAGGCAGCAGUGAGGAAUAUUGGUCAAUGGACGCAAGUCUGAACCAGCCAUGCCGCGUGCAGGAUGACGGCUCUAUGAGUUGUAAACUGCUUUUGUACGAGGGUAAACCCGGAUACGUGUAUCCGGCUGAAAGUAUCGUACGAAUAAGGAUCGGCUAACUCCGUG
Molecule: ribosomal RNA, 489 nt
Filed under: uncultured bacterium
Lineage: Bacteria
Description: bacterial SSU rRNA
Rfam family: Bacterial small subunit ribosomal RNA
Source: RNAcentral